UCUCAGCUUCCCAAGUGCUGGGAUUACAGGCAUAUGCCACCACACCCAGCUAACUAAUUGUUUUAAAGACUGUACUCUCACUCACUUCCUCUUCGGGAAAGAGGUUAUGGCAGUCAGCCUAAACAGGUGCAACAUCUAUUCUUGAUACUUACCAGUGAUUGGUCUGAUUUCCAUUUUGGAUGAAACCAAAGAAAUAGCAAUAAACACCAACUUCUUGAUACAAGAAAUAUACCAAAUUAUUAUCUUUCAAUUAGGUAAAUUUCCCAAAGAAGGGCAACCCUUCCUAAGACACUGUCCUUGGACACACCCACCAGAAAACAACUUAUCUCAAGAGAAUCAAUCUCAGGCUUUUGAAUCCAACCCACAUCCACCUUCAGCUACUUCUUCCAUUCCGGGGUGCAGAAAACAGUCUUCUGAGACUCAGCAGGUUUUGGCUGCUCCCUGCCCUCCCUCCCUUUCCUGUCUCAAGUUUCUUAAAUUCUCAGUCUCCCCAGAUGGGGCCUGAGUUUCUAGGGGGGAGGGAGUGGGCAGGCUGACUAAUCACAGCGUUUAUCUCCCUCCCCCACUCUACCCUUCUCUGUGACUCAACAGUAACUGGAUGUAACACACACAUACACACACUGCUAGAAUCCAGUUCCACAGUUAGAAGGACCUCUUCUUUCGAAGUGGGACUCAACACUUUUGUUAAUGCUGGUGGGGGAAAGAAAUGAGGCAUUAUCAGGCCCCACACUCCUGAGUCACUAAAAAGGAGUCAAGACACUUCACUGGCUUUCUACUGUCUCCUAAAGGCUCUCUAGACAACAUGAAUGAUCUAGGCUUCUGACUGCCAACUAGAGCACCAGGGAUCGAACUCGGGACCUUGCACUUGCGAGGCAGGUGGCCGCACCACUGAGGUAAAUCCCCGGCCCCAAAACUAUUAUAAAUUCUAAUCAACUUUUCACCUGCAGCUCUUGGUACUCCCUUAACACCCAUUCGGGAGGGACAUAAGAAAAAUAGCUCUUGUCAAAUGAGAGGGUCAGUGAGCCAGAGAUUACAUGCGAGUCCAACUUAUCUUCUCCUAGGGAUGACCACCUCACAGUAUUUUAUUCAAUAAAUAUUUAUUAACAAUGUUUUGUGCUAGGCACUACAUACACGAUAUGUGUGAAAUAAGGUCCUCUACCUCAGUAUCCUCCACCUAGAGAAAUCAAAUGAGUAAGAUUCAGAUAUUCUCAGCUCAGUCUUAGUUUAGGAAAUGCUACACUGAAACCGAACCUAUUUUUGAGAGACAAAGGAAAGUGCAUUAUUUUGUUAAAUAUGACAGUCUAGAAAGUAAGCUUCCUAGUCCAAAUACCCUUGGAGAAGCAGCUCAGAAGCAUCCAUAUUUCAUGUGCAAAGCAGCAGGGCUGAACCCACACUCCAACUUGCUAAAAUGCUGGUUGCAAUGUGUGCAAGUUUCCGUGUCAAAUCCUCAAGGCAUUUAUAAUGAGUCUCCUGGGAAGCUGAGGAGCAUCCCAAAGAAGGUGAUAACAUCAAUAGUCUCAGCUUUGCUCCAAGCCAUAAGGACAAACUUCAGGCUGAAAAUAAUCUUUUAGCAGUUCCUGGACUAGUGAAGGAAAGAUACUAUGGCUUAGAAGCCUAACCAUAUAAAUCAGGGGUUUUCAACCCAGAAUUCAUGAGUAAGUUUCAGGGAGUUCCAUAAGCCUUCAUAUAAAUUUUUGUGCUCCUAAGUUUUCCUGUUCAUGAAAUUCUUAAAGGGAUCUGGGACUCAAAAGAUUAAGAACCAUUGGAAGUCUCCAAUCCAGCAACUUCCAAGAGUAUUUCCAAGCAGGCAAAAGUGAGGCCUAUUUCAAUUCUCUACCUUCCACACAAAUUAGUCUAUUCAUCUCUCCUCUGAAAUUAGAAAUAGAGAUAGAAGUUUGCAUUUUGAAAAUUC
Molecule: non-coding RNA, 1912 nt
Organism: Heterocephalus glaber (naked mole-rat)
Lineage: Eukaryota; Metazoa; Chordata; Mammalia; Rodentia; Bathyergidae
Source: RefSeq, a predicted model, not a curated record